This 731-nucleotide ribosomal RNA is filed under the name Salmonella enterica subsp. enterica serovar Kentucky. RNAcentral's name for it is "partial 23S ribosomal RNA". It matches the Rfam family "Bacterial large subunit ribosomal RNA", at positions 585 to 1315 of the family's 2925-position model. Lineage: Bacteria; Pseudomonadati; Pseudomonadota; Gammaproteobacteria; Enterobacterales; Enterobacteriaceae. The record is from RNAcentral.
GGGGUGGGGUGACUGCGUACCUUUUGUAUAAUGGGUCAGCGACUUAUAUUCUGUAGCAAGGUUAACCGUAUAGGGGAGCCGAAGGGAAACCGAGUCUUAACCGGGCGUUAAGUUGCAGGGUAUAGACCCGAAACCCGGUGAUCUAGCCAUGGGCAGGUUGAAGGUUGGGUAACACUAACUGGAGGACCGAACCGACUAAUGUUGAAAAAUUAGCGGAUGACUUGUGGCUGGGGGUGAAAGGCCAAUCAAACCGGGAGAUAGCUGGUUCUCCCCGAAAGCUAUUUAGGUAGCGCCUCGUGAACUCAUCUUCGGGGGUAGAGCACUGUUUCGGCUAGGGGGUCAUCCCGACUUACCAACCCGAUGCAAACUGCGAAUACCGAAGAAUGUUAUCACGGGAGACACACGGCGGGUGCUAACGUCCGUCGUGAAGAGGGAAACAACCCAGACCGCCAGCUAAGGUCCCAAAGUCACAGUUAAGUGGGAAACGAUGUGGGAAGGCUCAGACAGCCAGGAUGUUGGCUUAGAAGCAGCCAUCAUUUAAAGAAAGCGUAAUAGCUCACUGGUCGAGUCGGCCUGCGCGGAAGAUGUAACGGGGCUAAACUGUGCACCGAAGCUGCGGCAGCGACGCUUAUGCGUUGUUGGGUAGGGGAGCGUUCUGUAAGCCUGCGAAGGUGUCCUGUGAGGGAUGCUGGAGGUAUCAGAAGUGCGAAUGCUGACAUAAGUAACGAUAA